This is a long non-coding RNA of Myotis davidii, 1841 nucleotides long. RefSeq lists it as uncharacterized. The transcript has 2 exons. Lineage: Eukaryota; Metazoa; Chordata; Mammalia; Chiroptera; Vespertilionidae. The record is from RefSeq and is a predicted model, not a curated record.
CACUGCCCUAGGAGAUGUGUGAUCCAGAGACUUCUGUGCCAAAGACUGCCUCAUCGAGGCUUCGUCGCCCCUUCCUCCUUGUCUCCACAAAGCGUGGUGCUGAGAGCACCGGCUCCUGUCUUGUAUUCAUUUUCCAGGAGAUUUUUGCUUGCAGGUGCACCGUACCUCAGGCAGACAUGGGCAGGUUGCGAGGCUUGAGCACAUGGCAGUGAAAUGGACAGUCAUUCCGUCCGCUGGCCCCGGGCCUGGGAAACGACAGGUUUCACUUCCCAGGUCAAAACUCCAGGCCAAGGCAGAAGAGAGGGUUCCUAGAAACAGCAGGUUUUAAAGAGCAGGUGGUGUUGAAGAUAAGAUGGCAGCAGAUGCGGACACUGCUCUUCCUUAUCGCUGGCUGGGCCUUCAGGAAGAUCCUAGGCUACUCUGCAGGGAACCACUGCCCCUGAUGGAAGAGGCCCAUCCUACAGGGCCGGACUUACUCCUUUAGUAAAGCCUAAUGACGAUUCCCGGUGAGCUCCGAGAGUGCCAUCUGGGAGGCGGUCAGCUUGCAUUUCACUGUGCUGCUCCUUGAACUCACCAGACACCUUUCUUUAGUUGAAAUAACACAACCCGGCACCACGCUGGGAUCCUGGGGAAUGUAACGUAAGCUGGUCUUCAUGCCAAAUUUCAGCCACACCGGAGCGUGUUCUGCAUGUUGUUGAAUGUUUUCUCAGUCGCUGUCCAUGCACACGUGCUGCUCAUUUCCUGGGAGGCCGCCUUUUGUGACAGAACGACAGGAAGCUCUGCUUUAGAGGAGGGCGGCAGUCGGCCAGUGGAGUUUCUCUCGGGAGGGCAUCAGUCCAAGAAACACCCAGAGUUUGUGUGACUUGACCCUGAGAUUGGGAGCAUUGAAACCAUGGGCACCAGUUGCUGUUUUGAUGCCAUUCAUGGGGCUUGAGAACAGUCAUUCUCUGUACUGUGUCCUGACGGGUGAGAGGAGGGACAGCGAGGUCCAGAGCCACCUCCUGGGUCUAUGUUGGCCUCAUCUCUUUGGCUCUUGGGAUGGGUCAGAGUUGGGUUCUGCUCUGGCUGCACUAAAAAGUGCCUCUGCUGAGCAAAUGGGGCUGCCUGUGGUCAGGGCGGGCGUACAUCCUGGACCCCGCCUUCCUAGGCGCCUACUCCAAAGGUCUGGAAACUGGUUAAUCUAAUUAUGAGGUUGGGGAAACACCGCUUUGGUCAUCUCCGUUUACAAAAUGAUGUUGGGAAUGGGGGUUUCCCUCUCAAAAGUCCUCAAGAUGGCAACUGAUUGGACACGCCCUCUCACUUACUACGUUUUCUCUAUUUGGAUGGCAGGUGGCAUUUAGCAGUAAAUUUGGGGAAAAUGUCAUCCCCUGGGCCAGACAGAUUGAGCCCGGUGUCUUGGAGUUGUCCUCUUCCUUGUGUGUGUGUGUGUGUUUUUUAAUUCAGUGACUAAACCAGAAACCCGGGUUUUGAUCAAUCCACCCAGUAGGUGGUUAGCUUUUUGUGUGAGGGAUGUCUGGUCUCCCCAUAGCUGCACAGAUUAGAGCAUGCGCAGGGCUGGCUGCAUUAGAAAAGGUGGGGAGGGACUUUGUUACAGGGGAUUUGACUGUUCUUUCUUAAUCGUAUGUAUUUGAAAUGCUUUCUGGGGAAGGCUGUCUGAUCCCUUCUGUGUGGCAGAAAAAUGCGUUAUCCAGGUAGUUUUUGCUACUAUAGAGAGCCUGUAAAUAAGGGCUUUGAAAAAAUAACUUUAACAAACCAGUAAGAUUCUGUGUCUCAUACAUAAACAUUCUGUGUACUUAGCACUUGAAAAUAAACAAAUCCAGACUUUUUAAAAUGCCAAAGAC